CAAAAGGUUCUUUUCAGAACCAACUUUUUUUUAAAAAUUUUCU
Molecule: non-coding RNA, 43 nt
Organism: Stegodyphus mimosarum
Lineage: Eukaryota; Metazoa; Arthropoda; Arachnida; Araneae; Eresidae
Source: Rfam